This 267-nucleotide ribosomal RNA is filed under the name uncultured bacterium. RNAcentral's name for it is "partial 16S ribosomal RNA". It matches the Rfam family "Bacterial small subunit ribosomal RNA", at positions 57 to 305 of the family's 1533-position model. The record is from RNAcentral.
GCAAGUUGUACGAGAAUUCUUUUGCUUGCAAAAGAUAGUAGAGUAGCGAACGGGUGAGUAACGCGUGGAUAAUCUGCCUUCAAAUUGGGGAUAACAUUGCGAAAGCGAUGCUAAUACCGUAUAAUAUCUUUUUUUCUUUGGAAUUAAAGAUCAAAGAUGGCCUCUAUAUUAUGCUAUUGUUUGAAGAUGAGUCCGCGUACCAUUAGCUUGUUGGUGGGGUAAUAGCCUACCAAGGCUACGAUGGUUAGCUGGUCUGAGAGGAUGAUC